RNAcentral lists this ribosomal RNA (257 nucleotides) under uncultured bacterium. Its description in RNAcentral is "partial 16S ribosomal RNA". It matches the Rfam family "Bacterial small subunit ribosomal RNA", at positions 524 to 771 of the family's 1533-position model. The record is from RNAcentral.
UACGUAGGGGGCUAGCGUUGUCCGGAUUUAUUGGGCGUAAAGAGCGUGUAGGCGGCCAGGUAGGUCUGCUGUGAAAACUCGAGGCUCAACCUCGAGACGUCGGCGGAAACCAUCUGGCUAGAGUCCGGAAGAGGAGAGUGGGAAUUCCUGGUGUGAGCGGUGAAAUGCGCAGGUAGUCAGGAGGAACGACCCGUGGCCGGAAGGCGGCUCUCGUGGGACGGUUACUGGACGCUGAGACGCGAAAGCGUGGGGAGCAA